This 2256-nucleotide long non-coding RNA is filed under the name Ananas comosus (pineapple). Its description in RNAcentral is "long non-coding RNA (ACOM_LNC019003)". Lineage: Eukaryota; Viridiplantae; Streptophyta; Magnoliopsida; Poales; Bromeliaceae. The record is from RNAcentral.
CAAGAGACAAAGUCCAUAACCCAUUUACCCAAGAAACAAUAUAUUAAAAAAAUUAAAUUUCUUUAUCUUCCCAAGAGACAAAAAGCAAUUUCACUCCCCACAUUGCACCUCUCUCUUCCCUAACUAAUAAAUUAUCGCUUCAUCUUUUCACCUUCCUAAAAAAUAAUAUAUUAAAAAAAUAAAUCUUUUCACUUUUUUUUAAAAAAAAUUUAUCUCUUUGUACCUCUCUCUCUCUCCUACCAAUAGAUCUCUUUUUCUAUUCACCUUCUCAAGAAAUAAAAUAUUAAAAAAAUAAAUUUUUUUACCUUUUCAAGAGAUAAUAUACUAAAAAAAUAAACUCCUCUCUCUUUCUCUCUCUUUCUCUUUUUCUCCCUCUACAAGAUCCAUGCUGUAACAACCCUGAAGAAUAAAUGGUAGAAGUAGUAGUAGCAUUAGUAGUUAGAUGUAGAAGAGGAGUAAAGGUAGCAGCUUUACUAGCUAGAAGAAGAAUAAGUGGCAGCAGCAGGUGGAGAGGAGGAGGUGCGGCAGGUGGGCCGACGAGAAGCGUCUUCGAAGGGCUCAGGCGAGCUUAACGGAACAGUCGGGCGAGAGGUAGUCCGGGUGGAGCUCUGGUGGGGACGACGAAGCUAGGGCAUCCUCAAAGCUCGGAGAGGGCGCUGGGAUGUCCAAUGGAGUCCAUGGAGUUGGGGCGAAGAAGAGGACUGGCGGAUCGAAGCUUCAGGAUCUCGGAGCGGAGGCAAAACGCGAACCCAGUACCCGCAGGGUCGCGGAUGAUGCGGAGAAGAAGGAGUCCGACGCCGAUUGCCCGUUUAUAGGCGGAUCGGGUGGGCCGAACCUCGGAUCGGGUGCAAUUAGCGAACCCAAGGCCCGCCGGGUAGCGGAUGAUGCGGAUAAGGUCGAGCCCGAUAUCCAAUCACCCGAUUACAUGAUGCUCAUGGACUUGUCAAGCCAACGGGGGCCCCAUUACCACAGAAUUAGCAGCCCAUGAGGCCCAUAUCUCAUAUUAGCACUUUUGCUGUUUAGCCCUCAGAUAGUAGUUAAUUUUCCUUUCAGUUCAAGUCACCAAGUAGUAUAAAUGUCAAGUGUAAUGUAAACAGGGAUCUAUCGAUGAAAUGAAAUAUUGCUUAUCUUCUUCCCCAAUCCUUCUCGAAACCCUUCUUUGCUUCUAAGCUCCCUAAUUCUCCUCUCUCUUCUCUACUUCUAAUCCCUACCCUUAUCUCUCUGUAUCUCUCUCUGUCUCUCUCUCAUUCCCAUCAUCUCCCAAUUCACGCUCCUCAAUCCGAGGUCUCAUCGGAUCGCGAUUGGGAUCAGGUUGGUCACGCCAUCAUCCCGGUUAGCCAUCCAUCUCCAUCGAGGGUUGCUAACAGGUCCGGUACAUAACACAUGCAUCCUAACCAAUAAGAUUCUGAAAAAUUCGAGAUCACGAAUCUCACGUCAUUCUCACAAAUUUUCUAAAUUCGCUCUAGAUUUGAAGAAAUCUAAUAAAAAAAUCUAAAUUUGGGUUUUGGAACUCUAUAAAUUCAUGAUGAGAAAGAAGCCAAGAGGGGAUGGAGCGGACAGCCAAUAGGGAAUCCGCGAGGGCGCAUGAGGAGAAACGCGUCCAUACCUAGCCCACAUCCAUGUAUUAACUUAAAAAAACAAAAGGAAAAAAAAGAAUGCAGAGGGAGAAGAAGGAGAAGGAAUAUAUAUAUAUAUAUAUAUAUAUAUAUAUAUAUAUAGUUGUGCUGGUAUGUUUAUGAAAGCACGGAGGUCUCCGUGCUUUCAAGUUGUUUUUGAUGUUCGGAUUUUCGAAUCGACGAUCGGCUCCGUUAGAGUUGAUCUAGAGUAUUUGAAGUACAUAGAAAAUAAAUUUUACGAUUUUUCGAUAUCAUUUGCCUAGUGAUCGAAGGAGCUCAAAAUCAAUAAUUUUAACGGCCGUGGUGAGCCGGUUGCAAGUUUAACAGUGUAGAAAUAUCGAAAUCAUAUAAAAUUUUGAUAGAAAAUUCUUUAUACCUUAUAAAACAAGAUCAAUAACUUUGAUCUAAAAUUUUAAUGUCAUAUCGUCAUAUUUUAUAAGAUUUUUAUUUUCAGCCGUUGAUUUUAAGCCACUUCGAUCAAUAGGCAAAUGAUAUCAAAAAAUCAUAAAAUUUAUUUUCUAAAUAAUUCAAAUACUCUAAAUCAAGUCUAACGGAGCCGAUUGUCGAUUCGAAAGUUCAAACAUCGAAAAUAAAAUGAAAGCACGGAGCCUUCCGUGCUUCCAUAAGCAUCCUAUAUAUA